AUUGAACGCUGGCGGCAGGCCUAACACAUGCAAGUCGAGCGAGCGGCGGACGGGUGAGUAAUGUAUGGGGACUCCCCGAUAGAGGGGGAUAACUACUGGAAACGGUGGCUAAUACCGCAUACUUCCGGAUAACCCAUAUGGGAUUAGCUAGUGGGGAAGGUAAUGGCUUACCUAGGCGACGAUCCCUAGCUGGUCUGAGAGGAUGAUCAGCCACACGGGGACUGAGACACGGCCCAAACUCCUACGGAGGCAGCAGUGGGGAAUAUUGCACAAUGGGCGCAAGCCUGAUGCAGCCAUGCCGCGUGUAUGAAGAAGGCCCUAGGGUUGUAAAGUACUUUCGGUCGGGAGGCGUUACCGACAGAAGAAGCACCGGCUAACUCCGUGCCAGCAGCCGCGGUAAUUC
This 403-nucleotide ribosomal RNA is filed under the name uncultured bacterium. RNAcentral describes it as "partial 16S ribosomal RNA". It matches the Rfam family "Bacterial small subunit ribosomal RNA", at positions 30 to 526 of the family's 1533-position model. The record is from RNAcentral.